ACAUUUUUUCUUUUGGGAUCAUCUCCAUUUGACAUCCACAUAUAAAAAAGUUCAAAUAUCUUGAUGAAUUAACUGAUCAACUUUCCAAGUCCAUAACUCAUAUCUUGAUGAAUUGAUGAUUGAGGACACUAAAAUAAGUUCAAGUAUGCAAGAAAUGAUGAAUUAAAGAACUUCCCUUGAUUUCAUUUGACCAUGGGUUGAGGUUGCUUCAUGAGCUAAGCACAGUUGAUGAACAGAUGAAUUAGGGUUUCCAUGAGAA
This 259-nucleotide long non-coding RNA is filed under the name Lathyrus oleraceus (garden pea). RNAcentral's name for it is "Pisum sativum (pea) long non-coding RNA (PSAT_LNC038317)". The record is from RNAcentral. Lineage: Eukaryota; Viridiplantae; Streptophyta; Magnoliopsida; Fabales; Fabaceae.